AAAGUCGUAACAAGGUAACCGUAGGUGAACCUGCGGUUGGAUCAUUACUAUAAAUAUCCCAUGGCCCGACGGCAUAUGUUAAACAGUGAGACUUUGUCCCAUUAACGUUGUCGUAGGGAACCUGGUAACAUUAUGUGAACUGUAUUGUCUCUGGCGGGGGGGGUGGAGUAUAAGUCAUUUACUCUAUCUGUCAGCUUGACGCUAAUAUUUUGUCAAGCCGUGGACAUCCCGUCAAACUCUUGUAAAACCUAUUGUCUGUUUUUUAUGUCUGACAUUUUUUGUAUGAAAUAUACAAACAACUUUUGGCAACGGAUCUCUUGGCUCUC
Molecule: unclassified non-coding RNA, 326 nt
Filed under: Chytridiomycota sp.
Lineage: Eukaryota; Fungi; Chytridiomycota
Description: partial contains small subunit ribosomal RNA, internal transcribed spacer 1, and 5.8S ribosomal RNA
Rfam family: Eukaryotic small subunit ribosomal RNA (bases 1-47)
Source: RNAcentral